GUUACUAGGUCAUUGGAUCGAAA
RNAcentral lists this unclassified non-coding RNA (23 nucleotides) under Dictyostelium discoideum. The record is from RNAcentral. Lineage: Eukaryota; Evosea; Eumycetozoa; Dictyosteliales; Dictyosteliaceae.